AAAUCUAAAUACCUUAACAAUUCAAAUUUCGCCAUUUGGGCAAACUGGUGCAAAUCCAGUACUGUGCCGCAACUGUAAGGCGCAUAUGCGCGCUAAGUCAGAAAACCAAUGGUGAAAAGAAAACUAUU
RNAcentral lists this non-coding RNA (128 nucleotides) under Candidatus Doudnaibacteriota. The record is from RNAcentral.